RNAcentral lists this ribosomal RNA (301 nucleotides) under uncultured bacterium. RNAcentral describes it as "partial 16S ribosomal RNA". It matches the Rfam family "Bacterial small subunit ribosomal RNA", at positions 509 to 807 of the family's 1533-position model. The record is from RNAcentral.
CAGUAGCCACGGUAAUACGGAGGGUGCAAGCGUUAUCCGGAUUCACUGGGUUUAAAGGGUGCGUAGGCGGUUUGACAAGUCUUGUGUGAAAUCUUCGGGCUCAACCCGAAGCCUGCACGAGAAACUGUUAAGCUUGAGUAUUGGAGAGGUGAGUGGAAUUUCCGGUGUAGCGGUGAAAUGCGUAGAUAUCGGAAGGAACACCUGUGGCGAAAGCGGCUCACUGGACAAUAACUGACGCUGAUGCACGAAAGCUAGGGGAGCAAACAGGAUUAGAUACCCGAGUAGUCCCUGUCUCUUAUAC